This 470-nucleotide ribosomal RNA is filed under the name uncultured bacterium. Its description in RNAcentral is "partial 16S ribosomal RNA". It matches the Rfam family "Bacterial small subunit ribosomal RNA", at positions 28 to 507 of the family's 1533-position model. The record is from RNAcentral.
GACGAACGCUGGCGGCGUGCUUAACACAUGCAAGUCGAACGGUGAACGAGGGAGCUUGCUCCCUCCGGAUCAGUGGCGAACGGGUGAGUAACACGUGAGCAAUCUGCCCCGAACUCUGGGAUAAGCGUUGGAAACGACGUCUAAUACCGGAUACGACGCGGGAGGGCAUCCUCUCCGCGUGGAAAGAACUUCGGUUCGGGAUGAGCUCGCGGCCUAUCAGCUUGUUGGUGAGGUAACGGCUCACCAAGGCGACGACGGGUAGCCGGCCUGAGAGGGUGACCGGCCACACUGGGACUGAGACACGGCCCAGACUCCUACGGGAGGCAGCAGUGGGGAAUAUUGCACAAUGGGCGCAAGCCUGAUGCAGCAACGCCGCGUGAGGGACGACGGCCUUCGGGUUGUAAACCUCUUUUAGCAGGGAAGAAGCAAAAGUGACGGUACCUGCAGAAAAAGCACCGGCUAACUACGUG